RNAcentral lists this non-coding RNA (64 nucleotides) under unclassified sequences. RNAcentral's name for it is "DUF3800-VIII RNA". It matches the Rfam family "DUF3800-VIII RNA". From Rfam's summary of the family: Bacteroidetes, Cyanobacteria, Firmicutes, Planctomycetes (1 example), Proteobacteria, Tenericutes (1 example). Nearby to DUF3800 The record is from Rfam by way of RNAcentral.
AUUCCCCUGCUUUGCCUAAGUUCUGCGUUCCACGCGGGGCACUUUGUAGGCAAAGCGAGGGAUU